GGGUUGUGAGGUUAAGCGACUAAGCGUACACGGUGGAUGCCCUGGCAGUCAGAGGCGAUGAAGGACGUGCUAAUCUGCGAAAAGCGUCGGUAAGGUGAUAUGAACCGUUACAGCCGGCGAUGUCCGAAUGGGGAAACCCAGUGCAAUUCGUUGCACUAUCGUUAACUGAAUACAUAGGUUAACGAGGCGAACCGGGGGAACUGAAACAUCUAAGUACCCCGAGGAAAAGAAAUCAACCGAGAUUCCCCCAGUAGCGGCGAGCGAACGGGGAGCAGCCCAGAGUCUGAAUCAGCUUGUGUGUUAGUGGAACGGUCUGGAAAGUCCGACGGUACAGGGUGAUAGUCCCGUACACCAAAAUGCACAGGCUGUGAACUCGAAGAGUAGGGCGGGACACGUGGUAUCCUGUCUGAAUAUGGGGGGACCAUCCUCCAAGGCUAAAUACUCCUGACUGACCGAUAGUGAACCAGUACCGUGAGGGAAAGGCGAAAAGAACCCCGGCGAGGGGAGUGAAAAAGAACCUGAAACCGUGUACGUACAAGCAGUGGGAGCACCUUCGGGUGUGACUGCGUACCUUUUGUAUAAUGGGUCAGCGACUUAUAUUCUGUAGCAAGGUUAACCGUAUAGGGGAGCCGCAGGGAAACCGAGUCUUAACUGGGCGUUAAGUUGCAGGGUAUAGACCCGAAACCCGGUGAUCUAGCCAUGGGCAGGUUGAAGGUUGGGUAACACUAACUGGAGGACCGAACCGACUAAUGUUGAAAAAUUAGCGGAUGACUUGUGGCUGGGGGUGAAAGGCCAAUCAAACCGGGAGAUAGCUGGUUCUCCCCGAAAGCUAUUUAGGUAGCGCCUCGUGAAUUCAUCUUCGGGGGUAGAGCACUGUUUCGGCUAGGGGGUCAUCCCGACUUACCAACCCGAUGCAAACUACGAAUACCGAAGAAUGUUAUCACGGGAGACACACGGCGGGUGCUAACGUCCGUCGUGAAGAGGGAAACAACCCAGACCGCCAGCUAAGGUCCCAAAGUCACAGUUAAGUGGGAAACGAUGUGGGAAGGCACAGACAGCCAGGAUGUUGGCUUAGAAGCAGCCAUCAUUUAAAGAAAGCGUAAUAGCUCACUGGUCGAGUCGGCCUGCGCGGAAGAUGUAACGGGGCUAAACUGUGCACCGAAGCUGCGGCAGCGACACUAUGUGUUGUUGGGUAGGGGAGCGUUCUGUAAGCCUGCGAAGGUGGCCUGUGAGGGUUGCUGGAGGUAUCAGAAGUGCGAAUGCUGACAUAAGUAACGAUAAUGCGGGUGAAAAGCCCGCACGCCGGAAGACCAAGGGUUCCUGUCCAACGUUAAUCGGGGCAGGGUGAGUCGACCCCUAAGGCGAGGCCGAAAGGCGUAGUCGAUGGGAAACAGGUUAAUAUUCCUGUACUUGGUGUUACUGCGAAGGGGGGACGGAGAAGGCUAUGUUAGCCGGGCGACGGUUGUCCCGGUUUAAGCAUGUAGGCGGAGGUUCCAGGUAAAUCCGGUACCUUUUUAACGCUGAGGUGUGAUGACGAGGCACUACGGUGCUGAAGUAACAAAUGCCCUGCUUCCAGGAAAAGCCUCUAAGCAUCAGGUAACAUUGAAUCGUACCCCAAACCGACACAGGUGGUCAGGUAGAGAAUACCAAGGCGCUUGAGAGAACUCGGGUGAAGGAACUAGGCAAAAUGGUGCCGUAACUUCGGGAGAAGGCACGCUGAUAUGUAGGUGAAGCCCCUGCGGGUGGAGCUGAAAUCAGUCGAAGAUACCAGCUGGCUGCAACUGUUUAUUAAAAACACAGCACUGUGCAAACACGAAAGUGGACGUAUACGGUGUGACGCCUGCCCGGUGCCGGAAGGUUAAUUGAUGGGGUUAUCCGUAAGGAGAAGCUCUUGAUCGAAGCCCCGGUAAACGGCGGCCGUAACUAUAACGGUCCUAAGGUAGCGAAAUUCCUUGUCGGGUAAGUUCCGACCUGCACGAAUGGCGUAAUGAUGGCCAGGCUGUCUCCACCCGAGACUCAGUGAAAUUGAACUCGCUGUGAAGAUGCAGUGUACCCGCGGCAAGACGGAAAGACCCCGUGAACCUUUACUAUAGCUUGACACUGAACAUUGAGCCUUGAUGUGUAGGAUAGGUGGGAGGCUUUGAAGCGUGGACGCCAGUCUGCGUGGAGCCAACCUUGAAAUACCACCCUUUAAUGUUUGAUGUUCUAACGUUGGCCCCUGACCGGGGUUGCGGACAGUGUCUGGUGGGUAGUUUGACUGGGGCGGUCUCCUCCCAAAGAGUAACGGAGGAGCACGAAGGUUAGCUAAUCCUGGUCGGACAUCAGGAGGUUAGUGCAAUGGCAUAAGCUAGCUUGACUGCGAGCGUGACGGCGCGAGCAGGUGCGAAAGCAGGUCAUAGUGAUCCGGUGGUUCUGAAUGGAAGGGCCAUCGCUCAACGGAUAAAAGGUACUCCGGGGAUAACAGGCUGAUACCGCCCAAGAGUUCAUAUCGACGGCGGUGUUUGGCACCUCGAUGUCGGCUCAUCACAUCCUGGGGCUGAAGUAGGUCCCAAGGGUAUGGCUGUUCGCCAUUUAAAGUGGUACGCGAGCUGGGUUUAGAACGUCGUGAGACAGUUCGGUCCCUAUCUGCCGUGGGCGCUGGAGAAUUGAGGGGGGCUGCUCCUAGUACGAGAGGACCGGAGUGGACGCAUCACUGGUGUUCGGGUUGUCAUGCCAAUGGCAUUGCCCGGUAGCUAAAUGCGGAAGAGAUAAGUGCUGAAAGCAUCUAAGCACGAAACUUGCCCCGAGAUGAGUUCUCCCUGAGACUUUAAGUCUCCUGAAGGAACGUUAAAGACGAUGACGUUGAUAGGUCGGGUGUGUAAGCGUAGCGAUACGUUGAGCUAACCGAUACUAAUGAACCGUGAGGCUUAACCUUACAACGCCGAAGCUGUU
This 2931-nucleotide ribosomal RNA is filed under the name Klebsiella aerogenes. RNAcentral's name for it is "bacterial LSU rRNA". It matches the Rfam family "Bacterial large subunit ribosomal RNA". Lineage: Bacteria; Pseudomonadati; Pseudomonadota; Gammaproteobacteria; Enterobacterales; Enterobacteriaceae. The record is from RNAcentral.